Molecule: non-coding RNA, 85 nt
Organism: Dothidotthia symphoricarpi CBS 119687
Lineage: Eukaryota; Fungi; Ascomycota; Dothideomycetes; Pleosporales; Dothidotthiaceae
Source: the annotation of a RefSeq genome assembly
GGCUCGUUGGUGUAGUUGGUUAUCACGUCAGUCUAACACCUUGUUAGUUCACUGAAGGUCCUGAGUUCAAGCCUCAGACAAGUCA